AGAGUUUGAUCCUGGCUCAGGACGAACGCUGGCGGCGUGCCUAACACAUGCAAGUCGAACGGACGGAACCAUUUAGGUGGGGAAGUUAGUGGCGAACGGGUGAGUAACACGUAGAUAAUCUGUCCUAUAUUGGGGGACAGCCCAGCGAAAGUUGGAUUAAUACCGCAUAUAGCUUAUUUAUCGCAUGGUAAGUAAGUGAAAGAAUUAUUGAUGUAGGAGGAGUCUGCGGCACAUUAGCUAGUAGGUGAGGUAAGAGCUUACCUAGGCGACGAUGUGUAGCCGGUCUGAGAGGAUGAACGGCCACAAUGGAACUGAGAUACGGUCCAUACUCCUACGGGAGGCAGCAGUGGGGAAUAUUGCACAAUGGGGGGAACCCUGAUGCAGCAACGCCGCGUGAGUGAAGAAGGUUUUCGGAUUGUAAAGCUCUGUGAGCAGGGAAGAGAGAGGACAGUACCUGCAGAGGAAGUCACGGCUAACUACGUGCCAGCAGCCGCGGUAAUACGUAGGUGGCAAGCGUUGUUCGGAAUAACUGGGCGUAAAGGAUGCGUAGGCGGUUAGAUAAGUUAUAUGUUAAAUAUAUGGGCUUAACCUGUAGAAAGCAUAUAAAACUGUGUAACUAGAGUGCAGGAGAGGUAAGUGGAAUUCCUAGUGUAGCGGUGAAAUGCGUAGAGAUUAGGAAGAACACCAGUGGCGAAGGCGACUUACUGGACUGUAACUGACGCUGAGGCAUGAGAGCAUGGGGAGCAAACAGGAUUAGGUACCCUGGUAGUCCAUGCUGUAAACGAUGGGUACUAGGUGUAGGUUAUGAAGGUAAUCUGUGCCGUCGCAAACGCAAUAAGUACCCCGCCUGGGGAGUACGAUCGCAAGAUUAAAACUCAAAGGAAUUGACGGGGACCCGCACAAGCAGCGGAGCAUGUGGUUUAAUUCGAAGCAACGCGAAGAACCUUACCUAAAUUUGACAUACCUUGAAUUACCUUGUAAAGAGGGAAGCUCUUCGGAGCAAGGAUACAGGUAGUGCAUGGUUGUCGUCAGCUCGUGUCGUGAGAUGUUGGGUUAAGUCCCGCAACGAGCGCAACCCUUGUUGUUAAUUGCUAACAGGAAAGCUGAGCACUUUAGCGAGACAGCCUAGGUUAACUAGGAGGAAGGUGGGGAUGACGUCAAAUCAUCAUGCCCCUUACAUUUAGGGCUACACACGUGCUACGAUGGCGAGAACAAAGAGAGGCAAGCUAGUGAUAGUGAGCAAAGCUUAGAAAACUCGUCUCAGUUCGGAUUGCAGGCUGAAACUCGCCUGUAUGAAGAUGGAGUUGCUAGUAAUCGCGAAUCAGGAUGUCGCGGUGAAUACGUUCCCGGGUCUUGUACACACCGCCCGUCACACCAUGAGAGUUGGCAACACCCGAAGCCUGUGAGCUAACCGAAAGGAGGCAGCAGUCUAAGGUGGGGUCAGCGAUUGGGGUGAAGUCGUAACAAGGUAACCGUA
Molecule: ribosomal RNA, 1477 nt
Filed under: uncultured bacterium
Lineage: Bacteria
Description: bacterial SSU rRNA
Rfam family: Bacterial small subunit ribosomal RNA
Source: RNAcentral